CAGUCAUUGGGGAGUAGCCUCUCUUCUACCUGAAGAGGCUUGCGUCAACAUACUUGGUCAUCCGACCAUGGCGUAAGCGGUUAUUGCUUGGCAAGACCUUUGACCAUACUGCCUUCCCUUUGGCUGGAGAGGUGGUGUGGU
Molecule: small RNA, 141 nt
Filed under: uncultured Azonexus sp.
Lineage: Bacteria; Pseudomonadati; Pseudomonadota; Betaproteobacteria; Rhodocyclales; Azonexaceae
Description: yybP-ykoY manganese riboswitch
Rfam family: Manganese Mn2+ riboswitch aptamer (yybP-ykoY)
About the family: This RNA was originally discovered in E. coli during a large scale screen and was named SraF. The family was later found to exist upstream of related families of protein genes in many bacteria, including the the yybP and ykoK genes in B. subtilis.
Source: RNAcentral